This is a long non-coding RNA of Canis lupus familiaris (dog), 809 nucleotides long. RefSeq lists it as uncharacterized. The transcript has 4 exons. Lineage: Eukaryota; Metazoa; Chordata; Mammalia; Carnivora; Canidae. The record is from RefSeq and is a predicted model, not a curated record.
UGCACACGAGGUGGAUCACUGGUGAACACACCGUACAAAACAUUGAAUAAUGGCGUGUUCACACUUUUGAAGUGGUCAUGUCUAACUGCUUCUUUUCAGGUAAUAAAAAGAAUCAUAAAGCUCUGAUGCAUGAGCUGCUUGGACACUUUUGAGAUAUGUUCAGAUUGUUCAACAAGGAUAUCACAGUGAACUAGACUCCAACAACUUGUGAAAUUUAAUGAAUCUAUUCAACUAGUGUCAGCCACGUCCAUAAAUAAUUUAAUAAGAAACCAUCAUCCAUGAAGGGGAAUGCAAGUCAAACAAUCAGAGAGGAACAGACCGGACCAAGGUCAACAUUAUGGGUUUUUCUCCUGGCUGGAUAGAGCAGAAAUGAAGUCCCCAGUUAGGAACUGAGAUCAGACGGUGAACAACAAAGAGCCCUGAGGUCUAUCUUAUGGAAUUGUGACAGCCUGCCCAGGAUAGCACUCUUGGCCACAACAAAGGGCUAUUCUUGUGAUUUGAGCUCAGGGAUGGGAAAUUCAAGUUUGGAAAAAUAGAAGACUAUGAAAGUUGGUCAGUCUGUGUUUGUUUUAUUGGGAUAUUUAAUCCCUUAACACUGAGUGGCAGAAGCAAAGAAAUGCCACAGAUUUUUAAUUAUUCAACUUAUAGUUAUGUGUUAACGAAAGGCAAGAUUGACAGACUGGUUUUGUAUUUGCUGGUUCUUAACUACAAGAGCUUUUUGAUGUAAUGACAUUCUCUUCAAUAGUACAUGAUAAAUAAAGCAAUAAGCAAUCAAGAAGCCAUGAGAAUGCUACUUUACCAUUUUUCAG